Molecule: ribosomal RNA, 468 nt
Filed under: uncultured bacterium
Lineage: Bacteria
Description: partial 16S ribosomal RNA
Rfam family: Bacterial small subunit ribosomal RNA
Source: RNAcentral
GACGAACGCUGGCGGCGUGCUUAACACAUGCAAGUCGAACGAAAAGGCCCUGCUUUUGUGGGGUGCUCGAGUGGCGAACGGGUGAGUAACACGUGAGUAACCUGCCCUUGACUUUGGGAUAACUUCAGGAAACUGGGGCUAAUACCGGAUAGGAGCUCCUGCUGCAUGGUGGGGGUUGGAAAGUUUCGGCGGUUGGGGAUGGACUCGCGGCUUAUCAGCUUGUUGGUGGGGUAGUGGCUUACCAAGGCUUUGACGGGUAGCCGGCCUGAGAGGGUGACCGGCCACAUUGGGACUGAGAUACGGCCCUGACUCCUACGGGAGGCAGCAGUGGGGAAUAUUGCACAAUGGGCGGAAGCCUGAUGCAGCAACGCCGCGUGCGGGAUGACGGCCUUCGGGUUGUAAACCGCUUUCGCCUGUGACGAAGCGUGAGUGACGGUAAUGGGUAAAGAAGCACCGGCUAACUACGUG